UACGUAGGGGCCUAGCGUUGUCCGGAUUUAUUGGGCGUAAAGAGCUCGUAGGCGGUUUGGUGAGUCGGGUGUGAAAUCUCCACGCUCAACGUGGAGGGGCCACCCGAUACUGCCAUGACUAGAGUCCGGUAGGGGAGUGUGGAAUUCCCGGUGUAGCGGUGAAAUGCGCAGAUAUCGGGAGGAACACCAGUAGCGAAGGCGCUCUACUGGACCGCAACUGACACUCAGGGACGAAAGCUAGGGGAGCGAAUGGG
Molecule: ribosomal RNA, 254 nt
Filed under: uncultured bacterium
Lineage: Bacteria
Description: partial 16S ribosomal RNA
Rfam family: Bacterial small subunit ribosomal RNA
Source: RNAcentral